UUCCGUCCAAGGCUAAAUACGGGC
Molecule: non-coding RNA, 24 nt
Filed under: Arabidopsis thaliana (thale cress)
Lineage: Eukaryota; Viridiplantae; Streptophyta; Magnoliopsida; Brassicales; Brassicaceae
Also listed under: 1 other name
Source: RNAcentral